CCAUCACCGCCUCCACCACAACAACCUAUCUUGUGACCGUUCAACUGGAAAACGCCAAACGUCGUGGCCAAUCCUCUAGACUUUGUUCUUUGUAUUCUAAAAUCCAAAUCCAAUUAAAAGUCCUUCUCUUCUCUGUUCCUCUCCCUCUCUUUUCACCGUCACGCUUCCUCCACUCCUCUUUGCAUGAAAAUGCUCUUGUUAGUAUAAAUUCCACCUAUUUUCUUGC
RNAcentral lists this unclassified non-coding RNA (226 nucleotides) under Hevea brasiliensis (rubber tree). Lineage: Eukaryota; Viridiplantae; Streptophyta; Magnoliopsida; Malpighiales; Euphorbiaceae. The record is from RNAcentral.